GGCGGCAUGGCCAAGUGGUAAGGCAGAGGAUUGCAAAUUCUUUAUCCCCAGUUCAAAUCUGGGUGCCGCCU
This 71-nucleotide transfer RNA is filed under the name Ceramothamnion japonicum. Its description in RNAcentral is "Ceramium japonicum tRNA-Cys". It matches the Rfam family "tRNA". Rfam says of the family: Transfer RNA (tRNA) molecules are approximately 80 nucleotides in length. Their secondary structure includes four short double-helical elements and three loops (D, anti-codon, and T loops). The record is from RNAcentral. Lineage: Eukaryota; Rhodophyta; Florideophyceae; Ceramiales; Ceramiaceae.